Molecule: ribosomal RNA, 1255 nt
Filed under: Candidatus Epulonipiscium sp.
Lineage: Bacteria; Bacillati; Bacillota; Clostridia; Lachnospirales; Lachnospiraceae
Description: bacterial SSU rRNA
Rfam family: Bacterial small subunit ribosomal RNA
Source: RNAcentral
AACACGAGAGUUUGAUCCUGGCUCAGGAUGAACGCUGGCGGCGUGCCUAACACAUGCAAGUCGAACGGGGGACUGCGUUGGAAGCUCUUCGGAGCGGACAAAGUAGAACCUAGUGGCGGAUGGGUGAGUAACGCGUGGGCAACCUGCCCAAUGCAUUGGGAUAACAACGAGAAAUCGUUGCUAAUACCAGAUAUACUUCCAGUUACGCAUGUAACAAGAAGGAAAGAGAUAUCGGCAUUGGAUGGGCCUGCGUCUGAUUAGCUAGUUGGUGGGGUAACAGCCUACCAAGGCAACGAUCAGUAGCCGACCUGAGAGGGUGACCGGCCACAUUGGGACUGAGACACGGCCCAAACUCCUACGGGAGGCAGCAGUGGGGAAUAUUGCACAAUGGGGGAAACCCUGAUGCAGCAACGCCGCGUGAAGGAAGAAGGUUUUCGGAUCGUAAACUUCUAUCAGUAGGGAAGAAGCAAGUGACGGUACCUAACUAAGAAGCCCCGGCUAACUACGUGCCAGCAGCCGCGGUAAUACGUAGGGGGCAAGCGUUAUCCGGAAUCACUGGGUGUAAAGGGUGCGUAGGCGGCGAUAUAAGUCAGAUGUGAAAAACCGAUGCUCAACAUCGGUCCUGCAUUUGAAACUGUAUGGCUAGAGUACAGGAGAGGAAAGUGGAAUUCCUAGUGUAGCGGUGAAAUGCGUAGAUAUUAGGAGGAACAUCAGUGGCGAAGGCGACUUUCUGGACUGUAACUGACGCUGAGGCACGAAAGCGUGGGUAGCGAACAGGAUUAGAUACCCUGGUAGUCCACGCUAUAAACGAUGAGUGCUAGGUGUCGGGGGUCAAACCUCGGUGCCGCCGUAAACACAUUAAGCACUCCACCUGGGGAGUACGUUCGCAAGAAUGAAACUCAAAGGAAUUGACGGGGGCCCGCACAAGCGGUGGAGCAUGUGGUUUAAUUCGAAGCAACGCGAAGAACCUUACCAAAGCUUGACAUCCUGUUGCCCGGUCCGUAAAAGGAUCCUUUUACUUCGGUAAACAACAGAGACAGGUGGUGCAUGGUUGUCGUCAGCUCGUGUCGUGAGAUGUUGGGUUAAGUCCCGCAACGAGCGCAACCCUUAUUUUCAGUAGCCAACAGGUAAAGCUGGGGACUCUGGAGAGACUGCCGUGGAGAACACGGAGGAAGGUGGGGAUGACGUCAAAUCAUCAUGCCCCUUAUGCUUUGGGCUACACACGUGCUACAAUGGCUGUGACAGAGGGAAGCGA